This is a long non-coding RNA of Cyprinus carpio carpio, 478 nucleotides long. NCBI's taxonomy places the organism in Eukaryota, Metazoa, Chordata, Actinopteri, Cypriniformes, Cyprinidae. The record is from Ensembl.
CGCCGGCCCAGCACCACAGCACAAGAUGGUUGACUCAACGCCUGAGUCUUCCGUCAAGGAGCCACCGGCACGCCAUCAUAGAGGCCGCAGGAGGAGGAGACAGGCGUCAGCCGUUCCUCGAAGCCCGGAGGACGUUCCCGAGCGGGCCGCUGCCGUCCAGGAGGACGUUCCCGAGCGGGCCGCUGCCGUCCAGGAGGACGUUCCCGAGCGGGCCGCUGCCGUCCAGGAGGACGUUCCCGAGGCGGUGCCCUUGUCUGAGGCCGUUCCCGAUGCCGUUCCCAAUGCCGUGACCUGGCCAUCGCCACAGCCUGCUCCUUACUGGCUCCCCGAUUGGCAGGUUCCGUUCGGGCCACUCAAAUGGCGAAUUCCUCCCUGGCCGUCUGCACAACGAGAAUGGACUGAUCCACCGUGGCCACCUGAACUGCCUGGUCCCUCGUGGUCCCCUGAACUUUCGGGUCCACCGUGGCCACCUGAACUG